Molecule: ribosomal RNA, 496 nt
Filed under: uncultured bacterium
Lineage: Bacteria
Description: bacterial SSU rRNA
Rfam family: Bacterial small subunit ribosomal RNA
Source: RNAcentral
CGUACGAUACGAGUUUGAUCAUGGCUUAGGAUGAACGCUAGCGGCAGGCUUAAUACAUGCAAGUCAAGGGGGUAGCAAUACAACCGGCGCACGGGUGAGUAACACGUACACAACAUACCAUAUACUGAGGUAUAGCUUCGGGAAACUGAAGGUAAUCCCUCAUAGUAUUGUGAAAGGGCAUCUUUUUACAAUUAAAGUUUCGACGGUAUAUGAUUGGUGUGCGUUUGAUUAGCUAGUUGGUAGGUAACGGCCUACCAAGGCAACGAUCAAUAGCUGGCGUGAGAGCGCGACCAGCCACACUGGAACUGAGACACGGUCCAGACUCCUACGGGAGGCAGCAGUAGGGAAUAUUGGACAAUGGGCGAAAGCCUGAUCCAGCCAUGCCGCGUGAUAGAUGAAGGCCCUCUGGGUUGUAAAUAUCUUUUAUCUGGGAAGAAACACUUCUAUUCUUAGAAGCUUGACGGUACCAGAGGAAUAAGCACCGGCUAACUCCGUG